GACAUGGCCAAACACGCUGGGACGUGCCAUACGUGAAAGGCAGUCAUGUAAGAGAAGCGAGAACGCUCAAUGAGGGCAGUAAAAGGAUCAUAAGAACCCAUGCCCACUUURGCUUCCAUAUCCAAGAGACCAAGCCACCCUCAAYGGGCCAAACAAUCAACAAAUGCUCAUUGACUAUAUGGAUCAAAGAGGGUGCUACAUGGUUCAUCCAACAUUGCGGGUGCAACGCUUGAUGAAAAAGGUACAUUUUUUUAUCAAAACUAUGCCGUUGAUCAGGUAUGCAACACAUGAAACCCACAUAUACGAUCAAGACGAUACAAGCCUUGCCGUAAAACUGAAAAGGAAUGUACGCGUGGCC
Molecule: unclassified non-coding RNA, 358 nt
Filed under: Tetramolopium filiforme var. polyphyllum
Lineage: Eukaryota; Viridiplantae; Streptophyta; Magnoliopsida; Asterales; Asteraceae
Description: partial external transcribed spacer
Source: RNAcentral